UCAAUAUAAAAAAUACAUAUAUUUUUAGAUAACAAAGACAUUAAAAAAGAAACGAAAUAUUAUUAGAGCUGAUUGUAAUUAUGUGCACUCCUAUUUAAGAGAAACAAACGUUAAGAGAAACUCAACGUUUGGAGUCAUGUAAUAUCCCAAUUUCUCUCCUCCCAGCCGCGCCGGAGAAGUCUAAGGAGGGGGGACGCCAGUGCUCCGGCACCCGAGACCACCGCGUCGUGCGCUCACGCGGGGGUCUUCGGCCCACACCCCCGCCCGUACCGAGGUGGCCGGGGCCACUGGUGCCGCCAACCGCGCCGGGGAUGCCGCGCCCACGCUCGGCCGCCGUCGGAGACACCGCCGUGUGCCCCUCCACCAUGUGCUUGUCGCGACGCCGUUGUCCCUCUCCAUCACCUCCCUAGGCCAUGGCCGCUUCUCCCUCCUCCGCAUCCCCCGCUCGGUUUGGUCUCUCCUGUUUCGUGCCACCUCGAGCUCAUAGGGCUCCUCGCGUUCCUCAACUGCGUCGAUUUACCACAGCUGGCCACUGCCGUGGAAUCACGCGAAGAGAAUAAUGCAUGGCGGAGGAGGACUUGGCGUGGCUCGGUGCUGGCUAACAAGCUCCGGCUCUGUUGUACUCAUUUGUGACUAAGGAGCAGGUAAGAUGGCUUCUUCUCGCGGCGUGAGGAUGGGGCUCUAUUGGGCUGGCCAGCCGGUGGAGCAAGACCGCGAUGAAGCCCAUCUAGCAGCCGUCGACCAUCAACAGCAGGUGUCAUCUUCCCCAAGGCUCGUCUUUCACACUGCUAUUCCUCUGCCUGUACGCUGUACUGCUCUGGCAUAAGAAACGGUUGCUUGCAAGGUGUUUGAUAAAAUGUCAACCAUGACUCUAGAACCAAAUUCAGUGUGGUCCAGCUAUAGGCAAUUGUGGUACUGAUGUCCAAAGUUACUGACUACUUAUUCUGAAGAUGCACAGAUCUUUUGGUGACUAGCCAUGAUACAAGUUCCACGUUAUCUUUUGGAAAAAAAAGAUCCAUCCUUUGGUGUAGAUAUAAAGCUUUGUAUGUAGCAGCAUACACCACUAUUCCGUACUUUAGUAAGAUCAAGUACAUUCCCUCAAAAAAAAGAUCAAGUAGGUUAAUUAGGAGGUCAAUCGAAAGCUUCUAAUCAAUAGAGCUCCUCAACAUUCUACACAUACAGUAUAUAUACUUAACCGAAGAAAAAAUGUUUUCCAUCGAACCUCGA
Sorghum bicolor (sorghum) is the source of this 1227-nucleotide long non-coding RNA. RefSeq lists it as uncharacterized. The record is from RefSeq and is a predicted model, not a curated record. The transcript is spliced from 2 exons. Lineage: Eukaryota; Viridiplantae; Streptophyta; Magnoliopsida; Poales; Poaceae.